ACUUUUAGCGUGAUUGGUCAAAGGUAGCGAGGUAAUUUGUUUUUUUAUUGAAUUCUAGUAUGAAUGGAUUUUUUGUUAUUAAAUAUAUUGAUUUUAAAAAGAAUUUUAAAUUUAUUUAAAAAAUAAUAAAUAAAAUAAAACUAAGAAAAGUCUUUAGAAAUUUAUUAUUUAAUUUAAUUAGGGAAAUAAAAUAAUUAAUAUUUUUUUCUUAAUCAAAAAAAAAAAUUUCUCUAGAGUUAACAGAAAUAAAUAUUAAUUUAUUAUUUUUACAUCGAUGUUGUUUUAUUUAAUAUUAAAAAUGAGAAACUUUUGAGUGAGAGACUGUUCUUCUUUUUUUAAUACGUGAAAUUAGUUUAAUU
Molecule: ribosomal RNA, 359 nt
Filed under: Meloidogyne javanica (root-knot nematode)
Lineage: Eukaryota; Metazoa; Nematoda; Chromadorea; Rhabditida; Meloidogynidae
Description: partial 16S ribosomal RNA
Source: RNAcentral